Molecule: long non-coding RNA, 3816 nt
Organism: Pongo pygmaeus (Bornean orangutan)
Lineage: Eukaryota; Metazoa; Chordata; Mammalia; Primates; Hominidae
Exons: 3
Source: RefSeq, a predicted model, not a curated record
UUCACUCUUGUUGCCCAGGCUGGAGUGCAAUGGUGCGAUCUCGGCUCACCGCAACCUCCACCUCCUGGGUUCAAGCGAUUCUCCUGCCUCAGCCUCCUGAGUAGCUGGGACUACAGGCGUGUGCCACCACACCCGGCUAAUUUUGUAUUUUUUAGUAGAGAAGGGGUUUCUCCAUGUUGGUCAGGCUGGUCUCGAACUCCUGACCUCAGGUGAUCCACCCAUCUUGGCCUCCCAAAGUGCUGGGAUUACAGGUGUGAGCCACUGCGCCUGGCCUCAGAUUAGAGUCUAUCUAUUGAUGUAGCUUCGAGUUCACUGACUCUUUUGUCAUCUCAGAUUUGUUGUUGUGAAGCUUGCCUAGUGAAAUUUUCACUUCACAUGUUGUAUUUUUAGUAUUUAAAAAAAUCUUUCUUCCUGUUUUGUUUUUUUUUUUUUUUUUAAUUUGAGACCGAGUCUUGCUCUUUUGCCCAGGCUGGAGUGCAGUGGUGCGAUUAUAUUACUGCAGCCUCAAACUCCCAGGCACAAGUGAUCCUCUUGCCUCAGCUUUCUGAGUAUUUGGGACUGCAGACUGGUGCUACUAUGCUCGGCUUAUAGUUUCUUUCUUUUUUUAUUUUUUUUUGUUGCUGAGACAUCCUGUUUUAUUUAUUAGAGGUUUAUCUUCAGUGGGCAGAUUUGAUUAGCAUUUAGCGACAUUUUUCUCUAAAGCUUCACAUUAUGGACCGGGCGCGGUGGCUCACGCCUGUAAUCCCAGCACUUUGGGAGGCCUAGAUGGGCAGAUCACGAGGUCAGGAGUUCGAGACUAACCUGACUAACAUAGUGAAACCUUGUCUCUACUAAAAAUACAAAAAUUAGCCAGAUGUGGUGGUAUGCACCUGUAACCCCAGCUACUCGGGAGGCUGAGGCAGGACAAUCGCUUGAACCCGGGAAGUGGAGGUUGCAGUGAGCCAAGAUUGCACCACUACACUCCAGCCUAGGUGACAGAGUGAGACUUCAUCUCAAAAAACAAAAACAAAGCAAAAAAAACACUUCACAUUAUAAAAGAAAUGGUAUAGUUUGGAAUAGAGGAAAGAAAUCACUUAUAAUCUUACCAUCCUUACCACAGUCCUAUUAAUAUAUUUUGUGUAGUUUUUUUUUUUUUUUUUUUUUUUUUUUUUGAGAUGGAGUCUUGCACUGUCGCCUGGGCUGGAAUGCAAUGGCGCCAUCUUGGCUCACUGAAAUCUCCGCCUCCUGGCUUCACACGAUUCUCCUGCCUCAGCCUCCCAAGUAGCUGGGAUUACAGGCACACACCACCACGCCUGGCUAAUUUUUUUUGUGUUUUUAGCAGAGAUGGAGUUUCACUAUGUUGGCCAGGCUGUUCUCGAACUCCUGACCUCAUGAUCUGCCUGUCUCGGCUUCCCAAAGUGCUAGAAUUACAGGCAUGAGCCACUGUGCCCAACCUAUUUUGUGUAUUUUCUUUUAAUGUUCAGUGAAUUUUUUUUUUUUUUUGAGAUGGAGUCUUGCUGUGUCGCCCAGGCUGGAGUGCAGUGGUACGGUCUCAGCUCACUGCAACCUCCGCCCCCUGGGUUCAUGCCAUCCUCCUGCCUCAGCCUCCCGAGUAGCUGGGACUGCAGGCGCCUGCCUCCAUGCCCGGCAAAUUUUUUGUAUUUUUAGUAGAGAUGGGAUUUCACCGUGUUAGCCAGGAUGUUGUCUAUCACCUGACCUCGUGAUCCACCUGCCUCGGCCUCCCAAAGUGCUGGGAUUACAGGCGUCAGCCACCGCGCCCGGCCCAGUGAAUUAUUUUUUUAACUUGGUUAAAAUCUUUGUAAGUAGUGUAUUAGUUACCACAUUGUUAUGCAGUUAGACUUUUUUUUUUUUGAGACAGAGUCUUGCUCUGUUGCCUAUGUUGGAGUGCAGUGGCAUGAUCUCGGCUCACUGCAAGCUCUGCCUCCUGGGUUCACACCAUUCUCCUGCCUCAGCCUCCCAAGUAGCUGGGACUACAGGCGCCUGCCACCACGCCCAGCUAAUUUUUUGUAUUUUUAGUAGAAACGGGGUUUCACCAUGUCGGUCAGGAUGAUCUCGAUCUCCUGACCUCCCUAUCCGCCCGCCUCAGCCUCCCAAAGUGCUGGGAUUACAGGCGUGAGCCACCAUGCCCGGACAGACUUUUCUUUUUUUGAGAUGAGAUCUUACUCUGUCACCCAGGCUGGAGUUCUGUGGUGUGACCUCAGCUCACUGUAGCCUUGACCUCCUGGGCUGAUGUGAUCCUCCCACCUCAGCCUCCCCAAUAGCUGGACUACAGGCUCCCGCCAUCUCGUCCAGCUAAUUUUUUGUAUUUUUAAGUAGAGAUGGGGUUUCACCAUGUUGUCUAGGCUGGUCUUGAACUCCUAACCUCAAGUGAUCCACCUGCCUCGGCCUCCCAAAGUGCUGGGAUUACAAGUGAGAGCCAUUGCAGCCGGUCAGACUUUUAUAAAAGUUUUAUGGUUAUAAAUGGUUAUAUAAAAUAUUUUUGUACAUAUAUUUUCAUAUCUUGAAGUUAAAGUAUAUAAAUGAUAUAAAAGACACAAAGGUAACUUAUAAAUGCUAUAUCUUAUAUUAUUUGCUUUGGCUCUCUAGAAGUGAAGUAAUUAAAUCAGAUGUUUUCUUGAUUCUUAUUGCUUAAUUACUGUCCAAAAGAAUAGGAUUAUAGUGUCAUCGAAAUUAUAUAAACAUGAAUUUUCACUUUUUUUUUUUUUUUUUUUGACAGAGUCUCUCUCUGUCACCCAGGCUGGAGUGCAGUGGCGUGAUCUCAGCUCACUGCAACCCCCGCCUCCCAGGUUCAAGUGAUUCUCGUGGCUCAGCCUCCUGAGUAGCUGGGAUUACAGGUGUCUGCCACCAGGCCUGGCUAAAUUUUUUGUUUUUGUUUUUGUUUUUGUUUUUCAGACGGAGUCUUGCUCUGUCACCAGGCUGGAGUGCAGUGGCAGGAUCUCAGCUCACUGCAACCUCCGCCUCCCAAAUUCAAGUGAUUCUUCUGCCUCAGCCUCCCGAGUAGCUGGGACUACAGGCAUGUGCCACCACGCCCAGCUAAUUUUUGUAUUUUUUUUAGAGAUGGGGUUUCACCAUGUUGGCCAGGAUGGUCUUGAUCUCUUGACCUUGUGAUCCGUCUGCCUUGGCUUCCCAGAGUGUUGGGAUUACAGGUAUGAGCCACUGUGCCAGCCCUAAUUUUUGUGUUUUUAGUAGUGACGGGGUUUCGCCACGUUCUCCAGGCUGGUUUUGAACUUCUGACCUUAUGUCAUCCGCCUGCCUUGGCCUCCCAGAGUUCUGGAAAUACAGGCAUGAGCCAUCACACCUGGCCUAUUUUUUAAAAUUAAAACCUUUUUUUAAAUUUCUUUUUUUCUUUCUUUUUUUGGUUCUAGCAGCAAUGGGAUGUUUGUGAUUUUGUUCCUUUUAUCCCUUCAUCAUGUAGUUUUUGAGUUAUUGUGCCUGGAGUCUGUGCCUGAUGUUAGGGGUAGCUACAGCCAUGAAAUGGGGCUUAUAAUCUAGCAGAGGAGUUAACUUAAUUGCAUAAAUAGCUAAUUGUUAUUGUAAUAUAUCCCAAGAAGGAAAGCAUAGGUAAAUGACCAUAUGGCACCUAACCUCGUCUGGAGAUUCAGAGACAUUGUCUUUGAUGAAGUGACUUUAAGCAAGGACCUGCGGGAUACAUAGAAGUUAUCCAGCUGCAAAAGAAGAUGUGAACUUUGUCCCCAUAAGGAUGGAGCUUUAAAAAGAACAGAUAAUGGGGUUUUCUUUUUUUUGAAGCUUCGCUCAUUCGCCCAGGCUGGAGUGCAGUGGUGCAGUCUCCCCUUACUGUAACCUCCACCUUCCGGG